This is a long non-coding RNA of Prionailurus viverrinus (fishing cat), 686 nucleotides long. RefSeq lists it as uncharacterized. The record is from RefSeq and is a predicted model, not a curated record. Lineage: Eukaryota; Metazoa; Chordata; Mammalia; Carnivora; Felidae. The transcript has 3 exons.
AGCACUCUUACUGGAGUGAUUUUGCAGGAUCAAAAUGCAAGCAUCACGUAUCUUUUUUCUUCUUCCAGUCUCCAGUCUUCUCCUAGAAUCCCCAGAGGGAAAGCCCAACUGGGAGUCAGCUGGCAAAAGAGAAAAGAUGGUUUGCAGAGUCUCAGUGUCAUCAAGUACAGUAUAGCAGAGAAAGCUGUUUCCAGGGACACAGCCUUGAGACAGUAAUGUGUUAUUAAGACCAUCUGGACUGUGUACAUGAUUGAACUCCAUUAAGGCCUUUAUAGAAACUCAAGAUUCUCUGCUGAUGGGUGUGGAGAUCUACUCAUCCUGCAGCAAUACAAGACAAACCUCAUAGUUCAGCCAGAUGGCAUGCCCCAGGUGUGAAGUUUCAAGCAUGAUUCUAUUCAAAUGUCAAAGUUUCCAGAACAAACUCCGCAUACCAGCCACACUGUCUUUGCUCCAGACCCGAAUUCUCUAGGGGGAGCUUGGAUUCCCUCUAGCAAAGUUCAUAAGCAACCCUCCAUCAAACAGAAGUAGGGAUCUCACUGAAUCUCUUUCUGCUUUUCAAAAGAAUGUGUGGUAAGUGUUUUUUUUGUUUUGUUUUUUUGUUUUUUUGUUUUGUUUUGUUUUGUUUUGCCUACAUCCAGGUUAGAUAAAAGAGAUGUUCUAGGGAAUUAAGUGAGAGGCCCCUUCUC